AGAAACUUAGGAUAAUCAAACCAAGGACCUUCAAAGCCCUAAACAGGAGAAAACACUCCUAGUUUCUG
Molecule: transfer RNA, 68 nt
Filed under: Uranoscodon superciliosus
Lineage: Eukaryota; Metazoa; Chordata; Lepidosauria; Squamata; Tropiduridae
Description: tRNA-Trp
Source: RNAcentral